AGCACCACAACUAGGACUUGCAGGUGUAUCGCAACCUGCCUCCUCAAAAAUCUGGGAACAUGUUUUGCCACCUGAUCCUGGAACUGGGAGGCUAUAUACAUCCAUCCAUACCUUUUGGGUAGCAGGAACAAGGAAAGUGGGAACCUUUACCUUCUUUCCGGAAGCUAGAAAAACUUUUGCAGCAGCCAUGAAGUCCUCUGUCUUUCCACCAGUACAAGAUCCAAUAUAUACUCUAUCGAUUUUGACAUCUUUGCAUUCUCUU
RNAcentral lists this unclassified non-coding RNA (262 nucleotides) under Hevea brasiliensis (rubber tree). Lineage: Eukaryota; Viridiplantae; Streptophyta; Magnoliopsida; Malpighiales; Euphorbiaceae. The record is from RNAcentral.